RNAcentral lists this ribosomal RNA (497 nucleotides) under uncultured bacterium. RNAcentral describes it as "partial 16S ribosomal RNA". It matches the Rfam family "Bacterial small subunit ribosomal RNA", at positions 28 to 507 of the family's 1533-position model. The record is from RNAcentral.
GAUGAACGCUGGCGGCGUGCCUAAUACAUGCAAGUCGAGCGAACGGACGAGAAGCUUGCUUCUCUGAUGUUAGCGGCGGACGGGUGAGUAACACGUGGAUAACCUACCUAUAAGACUGGGAUAACUUCGGGAAACCGGAGCUAAUACCGGAUAAUAUUUUGAACCGCAUGGUUCAAAAGUGAAAGACGGUCUUGCUGUCACUUAUAGAUGGAUCCGCGCUGCAUUAGCUAGUUGGUAAGGUAACGGCUUACCAAGGCAACGAUGCAUAGCCAACCUGAGAGGGUGAUCGGCCACACUGGAACUAAGACACGGUCCAGACUCCUACGGGAGGCAGCAGUAGGGAAUCUUCCGCAAUGGGCGAAAGCCUGACGGAGCAACGCCGCGUGAGUGAUGAAGGUCUUCGGAUCGUAAAACUCUGUUAUUAGGGAAGAACAUAUGUGUAAGUAACUGUGCACAUCUUGACGGUACCUAAUCAGAAAGCCACGGCUAACUACGUG